UCCAUAUAAUAAACUAGAAUUAUUAUUAUUCGUAAAAAAAGAAAAAGAAAUAUUAUUAAUUAUUUUAAUAAUUAAAAUAUUUCAAAAAGAAAUCUGAAAUUAUAACCAAAAUUUGAAUGAAAGUGAGAAUGAAACAUGUUUCUUUAGGUACUAAUUAAGGGUGGUGGAAAACAUUUUCCUUAAUUUUCAGUGUUUGAAUUGUGAAAAAUAAAUUCCUAUAGGAAAAUAUUUUACAAACACGGAUAAAAUCACUUCCCAAUCUCUGGAAAACGUCUUACCGAUUUGGAAUCAGUAAGACAUUUUCCAUUCCCUUCUCUACACUCUCAUCGGCAGUGGUUCUCCAUUCCUCUCUGUCCAUCAGCAUUUCUAACUUCUUCCGUCGAUCGUAGGGCUCCUUGAGCUGGUUUCGGGCUCCUUUUCCCCCAUUGAUUUCUUCUCCUUUUUAUAAAUUGAUUUGGGGCUUUUCAUCACUGUGUGCUGUUUUUGUCCGGGAUCUCUUGCUUGGGUUUUCUGCUAGUUUGGGUUCUCUUCUUUGCUCAGGCUUUCUACAAAUUCUGCUCUUCCUCUCUUGCUCGGGUCGGGUUUUUGUUACCGUUUUGUAGCCUGUGGUGUUUGGCUUGUCUUGGGCAUUUGGAAUUCUGGUUCAGUGUUGGUUUCUGGAGGCUUGUUCGGGGCUUCUCAUCGGUUCCAUUUUCUACUUCAAUUCAGAAGGUUCAGUGGGUCUCGUUUUUUGUUGGUUGGUCUGAGGGCGCCGAUAUUUGUGUCGUGGCCUCGUGGGUAGCGCGUUUUUCCGACUCGAUCUCGCUCGUGCACUCAGAGCUUUGUGGGGACUCUGUUUUGGCCUUUGGUUUUCGAGGGCUCGACUGAGUUUGUUUGUACAGCAAGCCGGAGUCAGGUCUGUGCUUUGUUCUCGGUGUUGUUGGUUGUAUUGACUUAUCUACUUUAGAUUGAUAGAGCUUUGACUUCUUUUUCGCUUUGUGUCUUUGACUUGUUGACAUUCGGUUAAUUGGUUUCGUGGUUUAAUCAAAGAUAAAAAACUUAUUCAGGGAGGCUGAGAUGAAGAACAGCAAUCGGGAGUAAUUCUGCAUAUGCAAAGGUUACUGCAGCCAAAAGAGACCAAAGUCUAGAAACUUUUUUUCUUCUGUGCUUCCACAACUGAUUUCUCUAUUACCUCAACUUUCAGCUUCAAAUCUUGAGCUACUGUCUCUUUCUGUCAUUGAUUGUCUGCAGGGAAAGAAAAAGUCAAGGUAACGAAUACUUGAAUUUUUGUUUUGUGUUUAUUAUGUAAACGGUGUAUUUUAAUUGAUGCUGCUGUUGCGUUUGUUUAAUUGGAUGUUAAAUUUUGAACUUUUAAAGAAGCUAUGACUUCUUUUUUUGCUUUGAUUUACUUGUAAAAGUUAAAAUUUGAUGUAGAUUAGGUUUUAGGCCUUUGUAAAAGUUUACAAUUCAAUUUAUAUCUAUGAUUAGUGAAAAUUGUUGAAUGAUUAGAGCUAUGAUUGAAUUUAUUUAAAUUUACUUUUGCUUGCGUGAUUUACUUGGGUUUAUCUGGAACUUGAAUAAAAUUUUGUGCAUUUGUAUGUGGUUCUUUUUUGGAGAA
Molecule: long non-coding RNA, 1597 nt
Organism: Gossypium raimondii (Peruvian cotton)
Lineage: Eukaryota; Viridiplantae; Streptophyta; Magnoliopsida; Malvales; Malvaceae
Exons: 2
Source: RefSeq, a predicted model, not a curated record